This 527-nucleotide long non-coding RNA is filed under the name Rattus norvegicus (Norway rat). Its description in RNAcentral is "long non-coding RNA NONRATT005688". The record is from RNAcentral. Lineage: Eukaryota; Metazoa; Chordata; Mammalia; Rodentia; Muridae.
UUUUUUGGAGACACCUGAAGGCAGCCUUGAACCUGAGAUUCCUUCCUACCCCUGCCUCCCAAAUGCUGGGAUUAUAGGCAUUUGCUACCACAUCCUGAUCUAAUUUUUCUUUUAUUUAGUGUUAGAAAUCCUCAAACCAGUGUCAGAAGCUUUUGAAGGGGGUAAGUCAUGGAGACUGGACUCACAUACCUGGACAAGACAUAGAAUGUGGUUAAGCAAACCAAGAACUUCCAUCGUAGAUAACAAUUUGGUCACGAGUUUGUUCUAAUUGUGAUUAAGAGAAUGCUUACUGUCUACAUAAAUGAAAAGCAGGACCCAGAGUUAGUAGCAAGAGCUCUUCAAGACAACUGGAAAGGGAGCAGGACAAUAACUUACUAAAACAAAAAACAAAAAACUCUGGUCUCUGGCCCCGGUCUACCACCAACUCAAGCUCCACACAAACCAUGGGACAUUAACUAACACUGAUGCAGAACACUGGGUUGAUCCUUCAUUGAAGAACAGACAAAACACACUCCCCAAAUAUUAGU